GACGUAGGGGGCGAGCGUUGUCCGGAUUUAUUGGGCGUAAAGCGUGCGUAGGCGGCUUCGCAAGUCGGGUGUGAAACCCCGGGGCUCAACCCCGGAACUGCAUCCGAUACUGCGUGGCUAGAGGUAGGUAGGGGAGAUCGGAAUUCCUGGUGUAGCGGUGAAAUGCGCAGAUAUCAGGAGGAACACCGAUGGCGAAGGCAGGUCUCUGGGCAUUAACUGACGCUGAGGAGCGAAAGCAUGGGGAGCGAACAGG
RNAcentral lists this ribosomal RNA (253 nucleotides) under uncultured bacterium. RNAcentral describes it as "partial 16S ribosomal RNA". It matches the Rfam family "Bacterial small subunit ribosomal RNA", at positions 524 to 776 of the family's 1533-position model. The record is from RNAcentral.